Molecule: ribosomal RNA, 253 nt
Filed under: uncultured bacterium
Lineage: Bacteria
Description: partial 16S ribosomal RNA
Rfam family: Bacterial small subunit ribosomal RNA
Source: RNAcentral
UACGUAGGGGGCAAGCGUUGUCCGGAAUUAUUGGGCGUAAAGAGCGUGUAGGCGGCCUGACAGGUCUGCUGUGAAAACUCGAGGCUCAACCUCGAGAUGUCGGCGGAAACCGUCUGGCUAGAGUCCGGAAGAGGAGAGUGGAAUUCCUGGUGUAGCGGUGAAAUGCGCAGAUAUCAGGAAGAACACCCGUGGCGAAGGCGGCUCUCUGGGACGGUACUGACGCUGAGACGCGAAAGCGUGGGGAGCGAACAGG